This 67-nucleotide transfer RNA is filed under the name Phyllotreta hemipoda. RNAcentral's name for it is "tRNA-Met". The record is from RNAcentral. Lineage: Eukaryota; Metazoa; Arthropoda; Insecta; Coleoptera; Chrysomelidae.
AAAAAGGUAAGCUAAAUUAAGCUAAUGGGUUCAUACCUCAUUUAUAAAGAUCAAUCUUUCCUUUUUA